CCUACGGGUGGCAGCAGGAGGGAAUAUUGGUCAAUGGGCGUAAGCCUGAACCAGCCAAGUCGCGUGAGGGAUGAAGGUUCUAUGGAUCGUAAACCUCUUUUAUAAGGGAAUAAAGUGUGGGACGUGUCCUGUUUUGUAUGUACCUUAUGAAUAAGGAUCGGCUAACUCCGUGCCAGCAGCCGCGGUAAUACGGAGGAUCCGAGCGUUAUCCGGAUUUAUUGGGUUUAAAGGGUGCGUAGGCGGCCUUUUAAGUCAGCGGUGAAAGUCUGUGGCUCAACCAUAGAAUUGCCGUUGAAACUGGGAGGCUUGAGUAUGUUUGAGGCAGGCGGAAUGCGUGGUGUAGCGGUGAAAUGCUUAGAUAUCACGCAGAACCCCGAUUGCGAAGGCAGCCUGCCAAGCCAUGACUGACGCUGAUGCACGAAAGCGUGGGGAUCAAACAGGAUUAGAUACCCCGGUAGUC
RNAcentral lists this ribosomal RNA (460 nucleotides) under uncultured bacterium. RNAcentral's name for it is "partial 16S ribosomal RNA". It matches the Rfam family "Bacterial small subunit ribosomal RNA", at positions 338 to 795 of the family's 1533-position model. The record is from RNAcentral.